Molecule: unclassified non-coding RNA, 354 nt
Filed under: soil metagenome
Description: partial contains 5.8S ribosomal RNA, internal transcribed spacer 2, and large subunit ribosomal RNA
Rfam family: 5.8S ribosomal RNA (bases 1-120)
Source: RNAcentral
GAUGAAGAACGCAGUGAAAUGCGAUAAGUAAUGUGAAUUGCAGAAUUCAGUGAAUCAUCGAAUCUUUGAACGCACAUUGCGCCCAUUAGUAUUCUAGUGGGCAUGCCUGUUCGAGCGUCAUUAAGUCCACUUAAGCCCUGCUUAGUGUUGGGAGACUGCUCCAGCGGUGCUACCCUGUAGCUACCCUGCAGCUCCUCAAAGACAGCGGCGGAGUUGUGGUAUCCUCUGAGCUUAGUAACUUGUUCUAGCUUUCGAGUACACCACUUCCCCUGCCGUAAAACCCUUAAUUUUUAAUGGUUGACCUCGGAUCAGGUAGGAAUACCCGCUGAACUUAAGCAUAUCAUAAGCGGAGGA